RNAcentral lists this ribosomal RNA (257 nucleotides) under uncultured bacterium. RNAcentral describes it as "partial 16S ribosomal RNA". It matches the Rfam family "Bacterial small subunit ribosomal RNA", at positions 524 to 776 of the family's 1533-position model. The record is from RNAcentral.
UACGGAGGGAGCGAGCGUUGUCCGAAGUUACUGGGCGUAAAGCGUGCGCAGGCGGUUAUGUAAGACAGAUGUGAAAUCCCCGGGCUCAACCCUGGGAACUGCAUUUGUGACUGCAUAGCUAGAGUACGGUAGAGGGGGAUGGAAUUCCGCGUGUAGCAGUGAAAUGCGUAGAUAUGCGGAGGAACACCGGGUGGCGAAGGCGGGUCUCUGGGCCGGAUACUGACGCUGGAGGAGCGAAAGCGUGGGGAGCAAACAGG